Molecule: non-coding RNA, 707 nt
Organism: Paramuricea clavata
Lineage: Eukaryota; Metazoa; Cnidaria; Anthozoa; Malacalcyonacea; Plexauridae
Source: the annotation of a GenBank genome assembly
GUAAGAUUUCGAAAAAAAAAUUCCUGCAAUCCAAGGAGAAAGAAAAAAAAAAUCAUGCAGCAUACAAUCGAGGAAAAAAAAUAUCAUGCAAAAGAUAGCGCUCAAAAAAAAAAUUCCUACAUGUAAAUCUACUGACAUUCUUCACUUCAGUAUUGUGUCCACAGGCUUGCUAGAUUUUGCAUUUUUGAGCAAGCACAUUUGCUUUUGAAGAACACUGGGUGAACAGUGGACAACAUCACAGGGAUUCUACCGCCUUUGGAGUCUAUAAUAUACGAUAGCCAGUGGCGUUCCCUGGCAAAAUUGUUGCCCCCCCCUGAGAAAAUCUGGGCUUAAGAUAUGUACAAGUUUAUAAGUUAUUUAUACAUAUCUAAUAUGCAUGGUAGAAAAAGUAUUUUUGGAUGGUUGAGUCUGUGUGCGUUUUUUGAUAACAUAGCUCCAAACUAUUAAAGCUUCAAAGGCCCAUCUACAGGAUGCAAGUUGAACGUACUGUAUAUACGAUGAUUUUAAUGCGAAAAUGCCAGUUUAGAGAGUCUAGAUUUUAAAAAAAUUCUGAAGAGGAUGCAACCCGAUCCCCAACAAGCUAUCUGUAUGAACGAUUGAAAAGCUACAGAGCUAUAUUUGGUGGAACAUUGUUGUUUCGGAGGGCAGUUAAAAAUCGCAUUAUUGAAAUCUUGUUUUAUUACAUAUUAAUCAAAGCUCAUUUUGUG